UUCAUAAGAAUAUAUUUAAGUCUUGACUUAAAACAAACAAAGUCUAUGCCAUUAUCCUGAAAGAGAGAUUUGUGACCUAGGUUGAUCCUGACGCUUACAUCUCAUAUCGUGAUGGUCCGAGCGGGAAGGCUAAGUAAUGGGUCUCUCUUUAAGAACUAAGCUUAAGUAGUUAUUGCCUACUUUUAGUCACAGUUUAUGUAAAAACAGUCUGUACAGUUUCACACGAGAUUGGGCAUAGGUCAGUGAUGUGAGGAGACUGUCCUCUUCUGUGUAACCUGGUGUUUCUGCCUGUCUUCCAUGCAGAAGCACUGAUUGCUUUUCUUCUGAAUUGUCUCUUUAAAGAUGGUUGGAUAGUGAAGAGCCUUGGAAGAUAGGGUAUCUCCCUGCUGAGUGAAGGGUGUGUUUCCUUACAGUUGGGUAUAAUAAAGACGGUGUUCCCUCCAGACCCUGGAGGGCAGGCAGGCUUAUUGCCCAUUGUAAAAGGUGUGGCUACCCUAAGCCCAGGGUCCUCCUGCUCUAACAGCGGCCCACUGAGCCUAUCUGUGUCUCUUCGGUGAUACUUGGAGGCAAGGAGAACUAUAGCAAAUAUAUUAUUCUUGCUUCUUGAUCUCUGCUACUCGUGAUAAAACCCUUUGUCUCUGACUCAGGAGUCUUGUGCCUUCUGCCAGCAUCCAUAACUGCGGCAGGCUGAUUUGUUAGUUUGCAAGAAGAGUAAAAUCUCAGACUCUUCCAUUUUUGACAGAUAACAAAAUUAAACAUAUGGUGUA
This is a long non-coding RNA of Herpailurus yagouaroundi (jaguarundi), 767 nucleotides long. RefSeq lists it as uncharacterized. The record is from RefSeq and is a predicted model, not a curated record. The transcript is spliced from 2 exons. Lineage: Eukaryota; Metazoa; Chordata; Mammalia; Carnivora; Felidae.